RNAcentral lists this unclassified non-coding RNA (328 nucleotides) under uncultured fungus. RNAcentral describes it as "partial contains 5.8S ribosomal RNA, internal transcribed spacer 2, and large subunit ribosomal RNA". The stretch from base 1 to 52 matches the Rfam family "5.8S ribosomal RNA", at positions 103 to 154 of the family's 154-position model. The record is from RNAcentral. RNAcentral also lists the same sequence under 1 other name. Lineage: Eukaryota; Fungi.
AACGCAUCUUGCGCUCUUUGGUAUUCCGAAGAGCAUGCCUGUUUGAGUGUCAUGAAACUCUCACCUGCAGCACUCUUUUAUUAGAGGGCUGGAGCGUGGACGUGAGUGCUGCUGGUGCCCUCGCUGCAUCGGCUCACUUGAAAUUUAUUAGCUGAAUCCUCUAGUGUUGGUUCUACUCGACGUGAUAAGAUCUCCGUCGAGGACAGUGCUCCUUGUGGGCGUUGGCCACCGCUAGCUGUUGAUACGCUCCUAAUUAGCGCAGACUUCGAGUGCUGGCAACUUUUGACAACUUGGCCUCAAAUCAGGUAGGACUACCCACUGAACUUAA